Molecule: ribosomal RNA, 369 nt
Filed under: uncultured organism
Description: bacterial SSU rRNA
Rfam family: Bacterial small subunit ribosomal RNA
Source: RNAcentral
CGUAGGCAGCAAGCGUUGUUCGGAAUUACUGGGCGUAAAGAGUGUGUAGGUGGUGUCGUAAGUUUGGUGUGAAAUCUCCCGGCUUAACUGGGAGGGUGCGCCGAAGACUGCGAUGCUUGAGUAUGGGAGAGGAAAGCGGAAUUCCUGGUGUAGCGGUGAAAUGCGUAGAUAUCAGGAGGAACACCUGCGGUGUAGACGGCUUUCUGGACCAUUACUGACACUGAGACACGAAAGCGUGGGUAGCAAACAGGAUUAGAUACCCUGGUAGUCCACGCCCUAAACGAUGCAUACUUGGUGUGAGCCAUUCAGUUGGUUCGUGCCGGAGCUAACGCGUUAAGUAUGCCGCCUGGGGAGUACGGUCGCAAGGCU